Molecule: long non-coding RNA, 562 nt
Organism: Homo sapiens (human)
Lineage: Eukaryota; Metazoa; Chordata; Mammalia; Primates; Hominidae
Source: Ensembl
AAGAUGCAACGCGACCUCCUUCCCACAGCAACGAAAGACUGCGACUCCCCGGACUAUCAGGCCGGGAGAGUCCACUUCCAGCUCACCUCGGAGCUCCGGGAGCCUUUCAGCACCUGCUUGGUGAGCGCGAUUACGUCAGUACCACAGGUGGUCACCUUCUCCGUGAGAAGCCCCUUCACGGACUGACCGAACCGCGCUUGAGACUCUGGCGUUCCAGUCGCCAUCAUUUCAGUUAGCGAACGGUUGCGCACUGACGAUGACGGAGUCUUGCCCUGUCACCCAGGCUGGAGUACACGGGUGUGAUCUUGGCUCACUGCAACCUCCGCCUCCCGGGUUCAAGCGAUUCUCCUGCCUCAGCCUCCCAAGUAGCUGGGACUACAGAUCUGGCAUUUUUUCAUCAUCACUGUCUUGUGAAUGAUCAUCUGCUCCAUCUGCUAAAUCUACAUCCUCUUCACCACCCAUGUGGUUCAUCAUCUCAGAGAAAUAAUCAAAAUCAGACAUGGCUUCAUCUGAACCAUCUUCCCAGUCUUUCCAAUGAUUGGAGUCCACACUAAGCCAGUUA